This 649-nucleotide ribosomal RNA is filed under the name Triticum aestivum (bread wheat). Its description in RNAcentral is "partial small subunit ribosomal RNA". The record is from RNAcentral. Lineage: Eukaryota; Viridiplantae; Streptophyta; Magnoliopsida; Poales; Poaceae.
GGCCUCCCAAUCUUUCCACCCCUAAGAAAAAUGCCAUUCCUUCCAGAGUCGAUGAGGAUAAGGAAAGCUGCGUCGGCCACCGCCGGUGCGGCGCGCCGGUCGAGAGGCGUACAGGCCUCGGAGGAAGCAACCGGCUCAGCCCGUGGUGGCGCAAUGGCAGCUGCUCGUCGCGGAGCCGAUGCGAGCAAGGGCGGGCGGCGCUCCGGCCGUGCUGUGGCGUCGACCUGUCCGUUGAAUCCAAGGCCAUUCCAGGGCCUUCAAAGUCCCGGCUUGAGCAAAGAGUUUGAUGUAAUCUCCCUUCCUUCUUCGUCCGCACAAGUACCUUGAGCAAAAUACACAGGUUGCUUUGGAGCUGGAAGUGGUGCGCUUCGUUCUCGAACAUAAACAUAACCGAUGACAUAAGUGGCCUAUCCCUAGCAUGGUCCUGAACACACAAGAGUCCCACAUGAAUACAACGCAGAACUUCAUGAAGUCGGAAACUUGCAACAAAGGAAGAGUCCACAAGUUCAAUGGCGUUUCCAUCUUCCCACAGUCUCCAUGCCUGAGCAAUAGAGUGAGGUCAACAUCAAGUUACUAACUUUACUGUUGGGAAAGGGGGGAGGGGGAGAUUGAAAAUAUCUUGUAAUCAUACUGACAUAAGUGAUAAGGC